GAAGAUCUAGGACAAGUGAUAUGUCGUGCAUGAAUGAUUUCGGACGACUCGGGAUGGCCAGAACAUGAAUUUACUGAAAAGGUUCAAAAAUGCGCCUAUGAUUGUGUUAAUAUGCGGCACAUAUUACAAUGAUUUUGUGUUGUCCUGAUUAGAUCACUACUAGAAAAGCAUGAUUUCGUGUCGAUCGUUUAUUAAACAUAGACGAUCGACGCUAAAUAUUUUCGCAUCGGUUGGAAAAAAAACUCAAUUUGGCGACGUAAAAUAUAUUUAGCGUCGGUCGAUUCAUAUUUCUCGUCACUUGGUAAGUGAACGACACUAAAUCACGAGGAAAUAAUUAAGAAAAAAAUCGCCAGCCGAUAAAUUUCUAUCUUCAACGAGUUACUUUCAUUUCCUCCAUCUUCUUCUUUCUCAUUUUUUCUUCUUCUUCUUCUUCUUCUUUCUUUAUGGGUGGACAACCAUCUUGUUGUUCUUCUUUUCCAUCAUCAUCUUCUUCUUUUUUUAUGAGUGGACAUCUAUCUUUUUUUUUCUUCUUCUUCUUUUCUUUUUUUUUUUCUUUUUUCUUCUCUUCCUCUU
RNAcentral lists this long non-coding RNA (573 nucleotides) under Linum usitatissimum (flax). Its description in RNAcentral is "long non-coding RNA (LUSI_LNC003201)". The record is from RNAcentral. Lineage: Eukaryota; Viridiplantae; Streptophyta; Magnoliopsida; Malpighiales; Linaceae.